AAUCAAUAGCUUAGAUUCAAUGCAGCCCCCACCUUGACAUGGUGGGGGUCGUUGGUUCGAGUCCAAUUGUGCCUACCA
This 78-nucleotide transfer RNA is filed under the name Pseudomonas sp. p106. RNAcentral describes it as "tRNA-Val". Lineage: Bacteria; Pseudomonadati; Pseudomonadota; Gammaproteobacteria; Pseudomonadales; Pseudomonadaceae. The record is from RNAcentral.